GACAGGAUGGCCGAGCGGUCAAAGGUGCCAGACUCAAGGCACUUCUUUGCCCUAUUAGGCAGGGUUAAUGAGUGUUCUAGUCCACGAAUGUGGGCGUGGGUUCGAAUCCCACUUCUGACA
RNAcentral lists this transfer RNA (120 nucleotides) under Stegodyphus mimosarum. It matches the Rfam family "tRNA". From Rfam's summary of the family: Transfer RNA (tRNA) molecules are approximately 80 nucleotides in length. Their secondary structure includes four short double-helical elements and three loops (D, anti-codon, and T loops). Lineage: Eukaryota; Metazoa; Arthropoda; Arachnida; Araneae; Eresidae. The record is from Rfam by way of RNAcentral.